CCCUUAGAUGUUCUGGGCUGCACGCGCGCUACACUGAAGCGUUCAACGAGUAUUCACCUUGCCCGGGAGGGUUGGGUAAUCUUUUGAAAACGCUUCGUGAUGGGGAUAGAUUAUUGCAAUUAUUAAUCUUCAACGAGGAAUUCCUAGUAAGCGCGAGUCAUCAGCUCGUGCUGAUUACGUCCCUGCCCUUUGUACACACCGCCCGUCGCUCCUACCGAUUGAGUGGUCCGGUGAAUUAUUCGGACUGCAACGCGUUCAGCUUCUGGAUGCAGUUGCGGAAAGUUUUGUAAACCUUAUCACUUAGAGGAAGGAGAAGUCGUAACA
RNAcentral lists this ribosomal RNA (324 nucleotides) under uncultured eukaryote. RNAcentral describes it as "partial 18S ribosomal RNA". It matches the Rfam family "Eukaryotic small subunit ribosomal RNA", at positions 1470 to 1796 of the family's 1831-position model. The record is from RNAcentral.